AUUUAUUUAUUUAUUUAUUCAAUAAUACUUGCAGAGUAAGGGUUAACCCUUAUAAAUAUUCUACAAUCGGAAAUUUUGUUGUUCACACCACAUUCUAACAAUAACUCAUGAUUUCAAGAUGGAAAUCCUAUCCAUAACAAUUACAUACACUCCCGUUCAAAAGUUUGGGGUCACCCCCUCAAAAACAUGUCAUUUUUUUAGGCCCAUAUAUCCGCCAAUUUGCGUCCGAUUUCAAAACCCUAGGUUUCAUUCAAAAGAUAAUAAGUCAAAGAAACUUUGAACAUGAUUUAAAAGAAACUUUUUCAAAAAAUUGUGUAUGUAAACUUAACCCAAAGUUGCCAAAUUUUCUAAAAAAUGAAUAUAAACUUACGGCAGUUUCGCUGGAAAUUGGGUCGACCAAAUUUUAAGAUGAGAGCGGUAAUAUGACCCAUUUUCUAUUAGCUUUCAACUGCUUUUUACAGAACUUAGCUAAAAAAUCUAGAAAAAAAAGUUAUUAAGUAAAUUAAUCCUUGAUGUCAUCGACCAAAAGUUUGGGGUCACUAUCGUAAAACAUGGAAAAGUGAUUUGUUGAUAUCUUUGUCAUCUUUCAUUCAAUUUUAAUUCUUCUUGGCUUAUUUGAAACAAAAUGAAUGAUACUUACUGCAUAGACAUUGAACCACACAUAUUUGUUGAAAUUUACAUACUAAAACUCAACGUAAAGUUGCCUCAAUUUUUGAAGCGUGGUAAAAUGUGCUAACUUUACAUAACAUUUUUAUAUGCAAAAAUCGUUAAAUACGUUAAGUUGAAGACAUCAAACGUAAAUUUAGUUAAUUAUCUUUGAAAUGAGCCAAAAAUAAUUAAAAUUGAACUAUAGAUGACGAAGAUAUCACCAAAUCACUUUUCCAUGUUUUACGAUAGUGACCCCAAACUUUUGGCCGAUGACAUCAAGGAAUAAUUUACUUAAUAACUUUUUUUUCUAGAUUUUUUAGCUAAGUUCUGUAAAAAGCAGUUGAAAGCUAAUAGAAAAUGGGUCAUAUUACCGCUCUCAUCUUAAAAUUUGGUCGACCCAACUUCCAGCGACACUGCCGUAAGUUUAUAUUCAUUUUUUAGAAAAUUUGGCAACUUUGGGUUAAGUUUACAUACAAAAUUUUUUGAAAAAGUUUCUUUUAAAUCAUGUUCAAAGUUUCUUUGAUUUAUUAUCUUUUGAAUGAGACCUAGGGUUUUGAAAUUGGACGCAAAUUGGCGGAGAUAUGGGCCUAAAAAAAUGACAUGUUUUUGAGGGGGUGACCCCAAACUUUUGAACGGGAGUGUAUAUUUACCCUGUUCAAAGAUUCACCGCCAUCCUCUUCAAGCUAUCACCUUCAUUCAACCAACAUAUGCACUCUGUACGGAAUCUUCGUACUGAAGAAAUAGAUUUAAUAUUAGUUGGGAGCAGAUUCCAAAGGUUAAUUGCACGGACAAAGAAGGUAUUGCCGUAAUGUGCGGUAUUAUGUUGCAUGAGAACAAAGUGUCGAACUCUAGUGCUUCUUAAAGGCUGAGGCUUAUCAACAAGGUAACGAGGACCGUGAUGUAUUAUUUUAAAUAAGGUGACAUAACUAGGGGGAAGGGGUUGGUUUGGAACUGUAUACGGUUUUCUAAGAUCUUUCUUGAGACCCUCUGAAACUCUAAACUACUACGUAACGCCUGAGUAACGCCUCUGAAACUCGUCAAAAACCAUCUGAAGCUGUCUGAAAUGCCUUCGGAAUCCCCCUAAAACCCUUUCGGACCCCUUGUAACGCACUUGAGACCCUUAGAUAUUCCCGAAAACACCUUUGUAACGCUUCUGAAACUCGCCAAACUCAUCUGAAGCUUUCUGAAAUGCCUUCGA
Long non-coding RNA from Aedes albopictus (Asian tiger mosquito), 1846 nucleotides. RefSeq lists it as uncharacterized. NCBI's taxonomy places the organism in Eukaryota, Metazoa, Arthropoda, Insecta, Diptera, Culicidae. The record is from RefSeq and is a predicted model, not a curated record. The transcript has 3 exons.